AUUGACUAAGGUUUCCAGAGGAAGGCUCGUCCGCUCUGGGUUAGUCGGGUCCUAAGCUGAGGCCGAUAGGCGUAGGCGAUGGAUAACAGGUUGAUAUUCCUGUACCACCAUUAUUCGUUUUAAGCGAUGGGGGGACGCAGUAGGAUAGGCGAAGCGUACGAUUGGAUUGUACGUCCAAGCAGUGAGAUUGAGUGUUAGGCAAAUCCGGCACUCUUAAGAUUGAGCUGUGAUGGGGAGAGGAAAUUGUUUCCUCGAGUCGUUGAUUUCACACUGCCAAGAAAAGCCUCUAGCUAGAAUUGUGGUGCCCGUACCGCAAACCGACACAGGUAGUCAAGAUGAGAAUUCUAAGGUGAGCGAGCGAACUCUCGUUAAGGAACUCGGCAAAAUGACCCCGUAACUUCGGGAGAAGGGGUGCUCUUUAGGGUUAACGCCCAGAAGAGCCGCAGUGAAUAGGCCCAAGCGACUGUUUAUCAAAAACACAGGUCUCUGCUAAACCGUAAGGUGAUGUAUAGGGGCUGACGCCUGCCCGGUGCUGGAAGGUUAAGAGG
RNAcentral lists this ribosomal RNA (548 nucleotides) under Salmonella enterica subsp. enterica serovar Typhi. RNAcentral describes it as "partial 23S ribosomal RNA". It matches the Rfam family "Bacterial large subunit ribosomal RNA", at positions 1340 to 1884 of the family's 2925-position model. Lineage: Bacteria; Pseudomonadati; Pseudomonadota; Gammaproteobacteria; Enterobacterales; Enterobacteriaceae. The record is from RNAcentral.